RNAcentral lists this long non-coding RNA (1402 nucleotides) under Citrus maxima (pomelo). Its description in RNAcentral is "long non-coding RNA (CMAX_LNC004247)". The record is from RNAcentral. Lineage: Eukaryota; Viridiplantae; Streptophyta; Magnoliopsida; Sapindales; Rutaceae.
ACAAAAAAUCAAAAUAUGUCUCAAAAUAUGCUCAAGAACACAUAACAUAUUCAAAUAACAAGUUCAAAUCAAAAUAAAUAAGCAAAAAGUCUUUUAAACUUUAACAAAACUACAAAAGCAAUAAACAUCAAUCAACUCCCAAAUCUCAAUUACUCCUCAGCUGCUUGUUCUUGUUGAGCUACUAUUGGCCUACCAAAUUCUACAUUAACAAAUUAAACAAAAAUAUUAGAAUGAUUAGUUAAGAGUGAAAUAACCAAAACAAUAUCAAAAUAUAGUAGUAACAUAUUACCUGCUUCAAUAACUUCAUAGAAUUCAGUUUCCUCCUGAGUAGGUUGUAUUAUCCGUUCUCCUAAUAGAGUUGAGCGAAGCCAAUUUUGAGUGCAAAUCAAUGACUCAACAGUUUUAUGAGUUAAAGAACUUCUAAAAGGAUCAAGAACACGUCCUCCUGUGCUAAAUGCCGAUUCUAAAGCUACAGUAGACACUGGAAUUGCCAAAACAUCUUUGGCAAUUUGAGACAAAAUCGGAUACCUAUGCCCAUUCAACUUCCACCAAGUCAAAAUAUCAAAAUGGGCAUUACUAGUACUCUCAUUAGCAUCCGUCAAGUACUUUUCAACAUCAUUUUUCGAACUAAUGUCAUCAUUUGAACUUUGCUUCAUCAUUUUGAAAGAUGAAAAAAGAUCAAUUGACAUUAUACUACUACUAGGACCACCACUACUACCACCACCACCAAUACUAGCUAUUGAAUGAUUCACCUCCGCCAACCCAUCUUGCACAAUCAAAUUUAUUAUGUAUGCCGAACACCUCACAUGCAUAUAUAAACCAUUCAAAACCAUUGAAUUCACACUCCAAUUUGCUAACUUUUUCUUCACAUAAGUUAUUGCAACUUUAUUGGCACUUGCAUUGUCUACUGUAAUUGUGAACAACCUCUCAAUCCCCCAAUCAAUCAAACAUGCCUCAAUUAGCUUCCUAAUACCAUCUCCUUUAUGAUUAGCUAUAGGUGUGAAACUAAGAAUCCUUUUGUGCAACACCCACUCCGCAUCAAUAAAAUGAGCAGUAAUGACCAUGUAGUUAGACAUUUGAAUUGAUGUCCACGUAUCUGUGGUAAUACACACUCUCUGCUUGCUUGCACCAAAAACACUUUUUAAUAACCCUUUUUCAUGCUGAUACAAUUCAAGAAUAUCCCUUGUAAUUGUUCUUCAGGAUGGCACAUCAAAUCUUGGGCAACAAGUUUGUAUGAACUCUAAAAACCCUUCAGCCUCCAUAAAGCUAAAAGGUAAUUCAUCCUUGACAAUCAUCUUCACAAGUGCCAUUCUACAAGCCUCUUGACUAAACCCGCCACUAAGUUUAACAACUCCAUCAUCUUUAUCUUUUCCCUUUUGACGGAAAAGUACUUGUUGCUUCG